GAAGUGUGUCUUGAAUGGAACAGGUGAGGCUUCCCAAGAUGAUGAUGGAUUGGCAACUGGAGGAUGUUCGAGGUAUACGACGGAGGGAACGAUGCCUUACUUCCUGGAUGGACGCUAUAGCCUGUGAUGCAGAGAGCACUGAAGUUCAAGAGCAAGAGAGGUGUUGACACAGAUGGCUCAGAACUGUAAUGCCUGGAGGGCUGUGGUGGUACAGUUGACAUAGAAAUGUAAAGUCGCAGGAGUGAGUGGUCCAAGAAUGGAAAGUGUUCAGAAAUAACACAAGCAGGGCAAAAAUUGGAGACUUUGGCCAGGAUCGUGGCAACAAGAUGCAACGUGGCCAACUGUUGGCAGCUCAAGACUGGAGCUAAGCAGGUCUGAUCAGGAUCAAGGUGGAAGAUGGUUACUGAGCAUGCAAGAGCAGCUUUGGAAGGUGGACAACUGAUGCACAACCUUGGAAUUUGUCCAAAAUGUCUAAAUCCUGAAUUUCACAAAACUGAGCUCCGAGUGGAACUUGAUGAAGGUGUUUCUGAACAUGAAAAGGCUUCGGGUGGUCAUAUAGUCAUAUAGGAUGAAUUAGCCAGAAACUUGGAAGUAAAAGUCACCGGGAUGCACAGAGAUCACAAGACAUGGCAGCAAUGACCACCAAUUUGUGCAGAGGCAUACAUGAACAGAUGGCUUGUGCUGAUGGGAGCAGAUGACUUUUGGGUGGAAGGAGAUGGCUGACAGAUGGAAACAGGCAGCUUACAUAUAGGAGCAGAUGGCGCAUGGAGGGGAGUAUUGUGCUCUGUAGUACAUGAUUUGAAAGGUUGUAAAUCUGCUUAUUGGAGUAAAGAUGUACAAUGGAAUAUCCA
Lineus longissimus is the source of this 851-nucleotide long non-coding RNA. RefSeq lists it as uncharacterized. The record is from RefSeq and is a predicted model, not a curated record. Lineage: Eukaryota; Metazoa; Nemertea; Pilidiophora; Heteronemertea; Lineidae. The transcript has 3 exons.